UUUUUUUGACAGUCAUUUUUUAAUUUAAGUAUAGAAAUAAGGUCUUUAGUUUUAGUGUUCUGCUAAUGCUUUGUGAAUGCCAUUAUUUGCAGUGCAAACUGAAACUUGGUGAAUACCAAAGAUGUUAUCACUGAUUUAAUUAAUUUUUACAAUUGUUUAUUUGACACUCAUUUAGAGAGAAAUAACAUUAGCAUUUUUAGAAUAAAAAAAAUGAUACGCUAAGUCUCUAUUGAAGACACUUUUUAAGCCUACUGAAUGUUAAAUUAAUUAUUAAGUAGAGGAAAUGCAAAACAAUGCAUCACAAAAUAUUUGCAGUCUUUAUCAGAAAUUGAAAUGUGCUAGCAGAUGUACCGUAAACCAAUUUCUUACAGUGCAGCAUUCUCUGGAUUCUGUGCGAAAUCUUUUAUUAAUGUUUUCCUGUAACCUUGGGCGAUAUUGUGACAUAUUUUGUGCUGUUUCUAAAGAGAAUGGGUUAACAGAGGAUACGUCUGGGGACUUCUAUCCAAAUUAUAAUUUGUAGACAACCUGUGAAAUUUCACCAGCACUAUCCCAGCGGGGGAUAGUGGGAUUUCCACAUCCUCUGCCAGUGGGAGAGCACACUGUUGGCUCCUUUGCAGCCUGGCACCCAUUCUAAGUGCCUGCUGCCUUCAGCAGGGCUGCUACGUGGCAUGGGAUUUUUCUGCCUCAGGUGCAGACCUUUGCGCUUCUGUUGAACCUCAUGAAGUGUCUUCUGGCCCAGUCUCAAGCCAAGGAAUGUCCUGAUUGAAGCUCUGCCAUUUGGCAUGCCAUCUCAUCCUCCUAAUUUAAUGUCAUCUGCAAACUUGUUAGCAUGUAGUCUAUGCCCUUGCCCGGGUCAGGGCAACUGGUAAGAUGUUGAUUCAUAUGGGCCACAAAAUUGAUCCCUGCAGGGCUCAUUGCUAGCUGGCAGUGGGGAGUAAACCAUUGGUCAAUGUCCUUCAAGCCUGGGGAUUUGUGCAGGUUUCUGCCCACCUCACUCCAUUCAUCCAGGCAUGAAAAAUACCAACUCAGUAGAUAUAUUGCUAUAGGUUUGGUAUGUUAUGAAAAUUAGUGCAAACCAUUUGACAUUUAAAACCUUUUAAACAAUUCAAGAAGCUCUAACUUUCACUACAAAGACAUAUCCUUUGCUUUUUACUGUGUUUUUCUUAAAACACUUAUUUCUGUAUAAAAUACACAAUCCUAUGCUUUAGUUUAAAAAUAGUGAACUGUACUUUCAAUUAAUAUUUUAGAAGUGUAACUUAAUUUGUUCCCUGUUCUGAUACUGCGGAUAUGAUAGGUUAAAAAUAGCUAUUUUCAUCAAAUGUAACGUCUUAUAAAGACUUAAAUAGCUUCAUUCCUGUUUUAGAUCUGUAUUAACAAGAUGGUAGAUUUUUUGGCAUAUUAGAAAUUGUUAUCUCACUGGGAGAUACAAUUUGAGUAUCAGUUGCUUAUCGUAUAGUAUGACUGUGAUUGAAAAGUCAUCUAGACACCCAUUCUAAUUUUAGAUAGAUGUAAGUAGCAUGAAAUAAACCUUUUUCUAUCUGGCUUUAAAAGUGAACUCCUCCUGUAAUACUCUUUUCAUCUUACAUAUAAUCUUACCUUUUUCUUUUUCUCAUUUUGAAUUUCUGACUCUGAAUGAGCUUGUAUGGCAUUUGUGGGUUUUAUUUGAAUAGCACAUGCUGGGCAUAUGGCGAGUAUUGCAGUACAUACACGUGACAGUUUUGAAAGAUACUGCCCUUAACUCCCUACUUGAACACUGUCAGACCUUUAUGGAAACAAAUUACACAAAUCUUAAGGGACACUAGGAGCCAGUGCUGGUCCUGCCCUCAUGGGUGUCUGGUGAGGAGCUUGCAUCUGGGCCAUGCCCGCUUUUCCAUGGAGGUAACAUAGGAUUUUCUCACCCUUGAACCAGGCAGAGUGGUGCCCAGCA
This is a long non-coding RNA of Strigops habroptila (Kakapo), 1927 nucleotides long. The record is from Ensembl. NCBI's taxonomy places the organism in Eukaryota, Metazoa, Chordata, Aves, Psittaciformes, Psittacidae.